This 1256-nucleotide long non-coding RNA is filed under the name Felis catus (domestic cat). Its description in RNAcentral is "lncRNA (ENSFCAG00000050903.1)". The record is from RNAcentral. Lineage: Eukaryota; Metazoa; Chordata; Mammalia; Carnivora; Felidae.
CCCCAGUGGGCUCAGCGGUCUUGCUUCUGCGCCUGCGCAUUGGUGCUCAGACCACACCCGACGCCGUGUGUAGGCGCCGCCGCUAGCCUCAGGGAACCAGUCCUGGAUCCAGCUUCUUGGCCCUGCGGGGCUGCAUGCCGUCAUAGUCAGGUUUCACCCAGAGCUUCUUGGGAAAAAUGAGGCGUCCGAAUUCUAGGAACAAAUUUAUGGUUACUAGGACGUUCUUGGAUGUUUGCAUUUGAGGUUUAGGUGUUACCCGUGGGGAUUAGAACGCAGGUGAAGGCCCUUGGCCAGCAUGGGCUCUGGAAAAUAAUGGUGAAAGUGAAUGAAUUAAUCACUAAAAAUCGGUGCGGAGUCUUACAGCGCAGAGUGAGCAGUGUCGCCGUGACGGGCCGGGAGCAUCCGCAGCAAACGGAGACUGCGCAGCUGCGGGCCACCCUCCCUUCCAAGGUGCCCUCAGGGUUCUCUGGAGUUGUGUUGCAUUUCUGGGACAUACCCUGGGCCCAAUCUUCAAGAGGCUUCAAAUCCUCACCUCUGGCACCUAGAUAUUUUGCCGCUUCCAGACAUCCAGUCAUAAGUGACUGGGGAGGCACUCUCCAACAAAGGUAGUGUUUCUCAGUGAUGCUCUGAAAAAGGUCUGGUUAUUUCACAAGAGAUGUGUGGCAUCCAACUGCUACUUUAUAGGUUAAUUUCCUAUACAGUUUUAAAGCUCCUACCAUGCUUCAUGGGAUCGUCAGUAAAUCCCCAUAUUUGGACAGAAGGACCAAAUGUUCUCAUUUGCAGAGAAGAAAUAAUUGACUAGACCUGAUCCAAUGACUGAUGGGCUCAUUCAAGCUCUUGUUAUUUCUUACUUCCCCAGGUGCUUUUUUCUUCUGACAUAAUACUGUUCAUUUUUAGAUAUGUAAUAGGAUAUGUUAUUCCCAGGAAAGCUUUUCUCUCUGGAUUAGGUUAGGAUAUAGCCUCUUGUACUACUCAACGGGUACUUUUAAUCAAAAUGAGUUCUUUUUUUUUUUUAAUUUUUUUUUUCAACGUUUAUUUAUUUUUGGGACAGAGAGAGACACAGCAUGAACGGGGGAGGGGCAGAGAGAGAGGGAGACACAGAAUCGGAAACAGGCUCCAGGCUCUGAGCCAUCAGCCCAGAGCCCGACGCAGGGCUCGAACUCGCGGACCGCAAGAUCGUGACCUGGCUGAAGUCGGACGCUUAACCGACUGCGCCACCCAGGCGCCCCUCAAAAUGAGUUCUAAUUGCCCCCUUC